RNAcentral lists this ribosomal RNA (374 nucleotides) under uncultured bacterium. RNAcentral describes it as "bacterial SSU rRNA". It matches the Rfam family "Bacterial small subunit ribosomal RNA", at positions 527 to 898 of the family's 1533-position model. The record is from RNAcentral.
GUAGGGUGCGAGCGUUGUCCGGAAUUAUUGGGCGUAAAGGGCUCGUAGGCGGUUUGUCGCGUCGGGAGUGAAAACACUGGGCUUAACUCAGUGCUUGCUUUCGAUACGGGCAGACUAGAGGCAUGCAGGGGAGAACGGAAUUCCUGGUGUAGCGGUGAAAUGCGCAGAUAUCAGGAGGAACACCGGUGGCGAAGGCGGUUCUCUGGGCAUGUCCUGACGCUGAGGAGCGAAAGUGUGGGGAGCGAACAGGAUUAGAUACCCUGGUAGUCCACACCGUAAACGUUGGGCGCUAGGUGUGGGGCCUAUUCCAUGGGUUCCGUGCCGCAGCUAACGCAUUAAGCGCCCCGCCUGGGGAGUACGGCCGCAAGGCUAAA